Clupea harengus (Atlantic herring) is the source of this 186-nucleotide long non-coding RNA. RefSeq lists it as uncharacterized. Lineage: Eukaryota; Metazoa; Chordata; Actinopteri; Clupeiformes; Clupeidae. The record is from RefSeq and is a predicted model, not a curated record. The transcript is spliced from 3 exons.
AAACUGAAGUUACUGAUGGAGCCAGUGAAGAUGCUGUGGACCGCCAAAGUGAUGAUGUGGUUGUAGCCACAACACCCGAUCACCACAACCAGACACAACAAUCAAUCCAGACACAACAAUCUGCCCAUACUUCAGCUAGUGGUGGUGCAAGUGAAGAUGCUGUGGCUACUACCCCAGCACCUAAUC